UGAGGAAUAUUGGUCAAUGGGCGAGAGCCUGAACCAGCCAAGUAGCGUGCAGGAUGACGGCCCUAUGGGUUGUAAACUGCUUUUAUAUGGGAAUAAAGUGAGGGACGUGUCCCUUAUUGCAUGUACCAUAUGAAUAAGGACCGGCUAAUUCCGUGCCAGCAGCCGCGGUAAUACGGAAGGUCCAGGCGUUAUCCGGAUUUAUUGGGUUUAAAGGGAGCGUAGGCUGUUUGUUAAGCGUGUUGUGAAAUAUACCGGCUCAACCGGUGGCUUGCAGCGCGAACUGGUCGACUUGAGUAUGCAGGAAGUAGGCGGAAUUCAUGGUGUAGCGGUGAAAUGCUUAGAUAUCAUGACGAACUCCGAUUGCGCAGGCAGCUUACUGUAGCAUAACUGACGCUGAUGCUCGAAAGUGCGGGUAUCAAACAGG
Molecule: ribosomal RNA, 424 nt
Filed under: Verrucomicrobiota bacterium
Lineage: Bacteria; Pseudomonadati; Verrucomicrobiota
Description: Verrucomicrobia bacterium partial 16S ribosomal RNA
Rfam family: Bacterial small subunit ribosomal RNA
Source: RNAcentral